UACGUAGGGGGCUAGCGUUGUCCGGAAUCAUUGGGCGUAAAGCGCGCGUAGGCGGCCAGAUAAGUCCGGUGUGAAAGCCACAGGCUCAACCUGUGAAUGCCGCUGGAAACUGUCUGGCUAGAGUGCGGAAGAGGCGAGUGGAAUUCCUGGUGUAGCGGUGAAAUGCGCAGAUAUCAGGAGGAACACCUAUUGCGAAGGCAGCUCGCUGGGACGUAACUGACGCUGAGACGCGAAAGCGUGGGGAGCAAACAGG
This 253-nucleotide ribosomal RNA is filed under the name uncultured bacterium. RNAcentral describes it as "partial 16S ribosomal RNA". It matches the Rfam family "Bacterial small subunit ribosomal RNA", at positions 524 to 776 of the family's 1533-position model. The record is from RNAcentral.